GCCAGUGUGAUGUAGUGGUUUGAACGUUGGACUAUGACUCUGGAGACCAGGGCUCAAAUCCCACGUUGGCC
Molecule: transfer RNA, 71 nt
Filed under: Phrynosoma platyrhinos (Desert horned lizard)
Lineage: Eukaryota; Metazoa; Chordata; Lepidosauria; Squamata; Phrynosomatidae
Description: tRNA-OTHER
Source: RNAcentral